CGGGACUGACGGGGCUCGAACCCGCAGCUUCCGCCUUGACAGGGCGGUGCUCUGACCAAUGAAACUACAAUCC
This 73-nucleotide transfer RNA is filed under the name Nicotiana rustica (Aztec tobacco). RNAcentral describes it as "tRNA-Asp". The record is from RNAcentral. Lineage: Eukaryota; Viridiplantae; Streptophyta; Magnoliopsida; Solanales; Solanaceae.